ACGGAAGGCAGCAGUCGGGAAUAUUGCACAAUGGGGGGAACCCUGAUGCAGCGAUGCCGCGUAAAGGAAGAAGGUCUUCGGAUUGUAAACUUUUGUCGACAGGGAAGAAACAAAUGACAGUACCUGUGGAGGAAGCCCCGGCUAACUACGUGCCAGCAGCCGCGGUAAUACGUAGGGGGCGAGCGUUAUCCGGAAUUACUGGGUGUAAAGGGUGCGUAGACGGGACACUAAGUCUGAUGUGAAAUACCAAGGCUCAACUUUGGAACUGCAUCGGAAACUGGCGACCUAGAGUGCGGGAGAGGAAAGCGGAAUUCUCAGUGUAGCGGUGAAAUGCGUAGAUAUUGAGAGGAACACCGGUGGCGAAGGCGGCUUACUGGACUGUAACUGACGUUGAGGCUCAAAAGCGUGGGGAGCAAACAGGAUUAGAUACCCUGGUA
This 437-nucleotide ribosomal RNA is filed under the name uncultured Oscillospiraceae bacterium. Its description in RNAcentral is "bacterial SSU rRNA". It matches the Rfam family "Bacterial small subunit ribosomal RNA", at positions 341 to 792 of the family's 1533-position model. Lineage: Bacteria; Bacillati; Bacillota; Clostridia; Eubacteriales; Oscillospiraceae. The record is from RNAcentral.